CAGCACUUACAGGUUUUGAUAUUUGAUAAGUAUUCAUUCACGUACAAAGCCUGGUUUAAAGCUUUGGUUUCUUCCAGGUGGCUUUGGUGGCAGCCGUGGUGGUGGUGGAUAUGGUGGCAGUGGGGAUGGCUAUAAUGGAUUUGGCAAUGAUGGAAGCAAUUUUGGAGGUGGUGGAAGCUACAAUGAUUUUGGCAAUUACAACAACCAGUCAUCAAAUUUUGGACCGAUGAAAGGAGGAAACUUUGGAGGCAGGAGCUCUGGCCCUUAUGGUGGUGGAGGCCAGUACUUUGCUAAACCACGAAACCAAGGUGGCUAUGGAGGUUCCAGCAGCAGCAGUAGCUAUGGCAGUGGCAGGAGGUUCUAAUUACAGCCAGGUAAGUGCCUCCUUUGUGUGUGUUCACAAAAUUUUAUAAUUGAACCCAGUAACCCAAAUGUAGCUGAGCAGUGCAACAUAGUUAACAUUAUAACUGCAGUAAAAUGGUGGAUAUUAAGUUAAUAUGCAGUUCAGCAAAAUUUGUGGGAAACAAC
This 528-nucleotide long non-coding RNA is filed under the name Rattus norvegicus (Norway rat). RNAcentral describes it as "long non-coding RNA NONRATT026357". The record is from RNAcentral. Lineage: Eukaryota; Metazoa; Chordata; Mammalia; Rodentia; Muridae.